GGCUGAAUGGUUCUUAUCUGCCGUCACAUUCUAUGUUUCUAUGUUUCUAUGCAUGUUGUUAAACUGAGAAAAACAAGCACUCUGCUGACAUUAUCAGAAACAUAGAAACAUAGAAACAUAGAAACAUAGACAUAGAAACAUAGAAACAUAGAAUGUGACGGCAGAUAAGAACCAUUCGGCC
Non-coding RNA from Pelobates cultripes (western spadefoot toad), 181 nucleotides. Lineage: Eukaryota; Metazoa; Chordata; Amphibia; Anura; Pelobatidae. The record is from the annotation of a GenBank genome assembly.